Molecule: long non-coding RNA, 2180 nt
Organism: Cyprinus carpio (common carp)
Lineage: Eukaryota; Metazoa; Chordata; Actinopteri; Cypriniformes; Cyprinidae
Source: Ensembl
UUUUAAUUUGUUUUUUUUUCUGUAUAAUGUUGAAUAGAACAUAGGCACUCAUAGUAAGGUGAACUCAUGUCGGUGUUUGUCAGCAAGUAGCUCCUCACCAUCAGGAAAGUCUGCAGUGCUGCUCUCACCAAAUGGGUCUCCUGUUAUUACCACAGCUGUUCUGAGAUUCUAUGUAGGCUGUUCAUUCAUUUAGGGAUUUACCUAAAAUUAAAUAACAAAAUAUUUACAUUUAUUCAUGUAGCACAGGCUUUUUUAAAAGUAUCUUUAAAAUAGGAACUCCACAUGAAAUUUUUUGUCAUAUUAGUGAAUUGAUUAAUGGUUGUUGACUAAUUAAAUGCACAGUGUCUAUAACAAUAACACACACAGUGUAUGUAAUGCGUGUGUGUACACUAUAUAUGUAUACACACAUGCGCAAACUCAGACUUACCUCAUUUAUCAUAUACAGACAGCAGGAUCAUCAUGUAACACGCAGGGCAAUGCUAGGAUUUCUCAGAAGAUAAUAAUAAAAAAAAAACUGUUAAUAAACUAUAAAUAAUUUAAUGUUUUAUAAGGGUUUCUGGUAGAGUUGUGACGUUCGCGAACGAACCGGUUCUUUUGAACGGUUCAUAAACAUGAACGAUGGGAGCCGAAUCGCGGCUGGAGGGGAGCCGUUCUUUCUGUCGUUCUUUUUUCCUAUGCGUGUUUCACACAGAUGCACACAAAUGAGCUCCUCCGCGAGACAGAACAGUUAUAGGGGGAGGGGCGCACCCAGCGGAAGGAGCAGGCAGUGGUGCUGGAUCAAUAGUUUGGAGCUAUUUCCAUGAGGAAGUAGCUGGAACAGUGGAAGCCAGGAAUCCAACCGCCGAUGCUGUCAUUGAGGUGCGAGCCUACCUGGAGGAGCCUCUUCUUCCAACACAUGAGGAUCCCCUCAAGUGGUGGGAGAGUCGAGCCCCUGUUUACCCCAGGCUUAGCAAGCUGAUGGCCAAGAAGCUUUGUGUUGUGGCGACAUCAGUUCCCUCUGAGAGAAUAUUCUCGAAAACUGGACAGAUAAUCUCAGAGAGGAGAAGUCGCCUUAAGCCCAAAAUGGUCAGAGCUCUUGUCUUCCUUAAUGCAAAUUUGCCCAAGGACAAAAAAGAGAGGCAGAAAAAGCCAUAAAGUAAGGAACUGCUUUGUAUUUAUUUACAUUGCAUUUUGUGUUCAUUUAAAACUUGUUCUUUUAAAAACAUUAAAAAUGUUCUUUUGUGAUACUGUUCUUGUAUAGAAAUUUUUCACUAAAAGCUGUUUUGCACAGACAUUCAUUGCAGCCCACUUUGUUAUUGUUCAUUGACUUGAAGGGGCUGAUGUCCUAUUUGCAAAGUUUACAGUAGUAAUAGUAUGUAGUAUGUAGACAUUUCCAUUUUAUUUAUUCUAAUUUUAUCUACUUUAAAUAUUUUUUGUUUUCUAUCAAAAUGUUCUUGUGUGAUAACAAUGUUCUUGUGUGGAAGUGUUUGUAGUAAAAGCUGUUUUGCACAGAAAUUCAUUGCAGCCGGCUUUGUUUUUGAUGUUUAUUUGUGAGUAGGUAUUGUAUGAAUAACAUAAGUCAACGUAGCUUUACACACACACACACACACACACUUUGUACUAAAGGUAAAUCCAAAAUAGUGAUGUCACUGUCUAAGCAGAGGGAUUUGUGCAACCCUAUGGAAUAUAGUCCACACAUGACAAAUGAGGUAAUAAUCAAUAUUUCAGAAUAAUUCAAACUCAGAUAUUGGUGUGUGAUAUCUGAGUUUUAAUUAUUUGACUACAAAUCUCACCUCAUCAUUCCUCCCAGUGAUUAUUUCCAGGAUAAACUGAGAUGCCCCCAAGCUGGCUUCUUAAAACUGACUAAAUAUUUAAAAAGAGCCAAAAGAGCCGUUCUUUUGAACGGCUCUUUGAAAGGAACGGAUCGCGAAGAUCCGGAUACCCUCAAAGAGCCAUAAAUCCCAUCACUAGUUUCUGGUGUGUCUCUGCAAUUGUUCACUUAUUUACACACCUGCAAAAGAUGGGGUAGGUCCAGAGAGGUCUUUUUUUUUUUUUUUUUUGUCAGUCAGCAUCAGACAUCAGCGACUGUCCACUGCCUCACAGGUGUCCACUACAGAGCCAUAUUUAUGAAACAUAUGCAGAACACAUUUCUUUAUUAACUGCUGAAUAAAAAAAGAAUGCAUGGGUAAUUUUUUAACUGU